This 484-nucleotide long non-coding RNA is filed under the name Macaca mulatta (Rhesus monkey). RNAcentral describes it as "lncRNA (ENSMMUG00000064396.1)". The record is from RNAcentral. Lineage: Eukaryota; Metazoa; Chordata; Mammalia; Primates; Cercopithecidae.
GUCAGUCCCUUUGUAAAAACAUGAUUUGGAGAGAGUGGUAUAAACACAUAAAAAACACAAGCAUUUCAAUAUUGGUUAUUUUCCUCUUUAUUUUGAUUUUAUUUUGAGGAGGCUGGAGAAUGAAAUAACGUCUUCGGAAACAGCUUAAACAAGUCAGUUCAAGACAAUCUCUGGCUCUUUCUGAAGGCAACAUUAUAAGGCUUCAAAAAUAGCACAGUGAGCCAAGAGAAACUGCAAAGACACCGCUGUGGGAUGGUGAUUUGGAUAUAAAAUUCUCUGAGCCAGGGUGUGAUAAGCUGUUGGACCAUCUUAGACAACCAUCUAGACCCUGGAGCCAUUGUAGUUUGGGUAUACAAUCCAAUCCUGGAUAUUGUUUUAUGCUGACCCUUUUGAAAAGUUUUGGCUCAAAAAUGACACAUGUACCAUCCAUAGCAUUGCAAUGACAAGAACAAGUUAGAAGGACACAGCCAAAUGUAAGCAGAAC